Long non-coding RNA from Neofelis nebulosa (Clouded leopard), 3703 nucleotides. RefSeq lists it as uncharacterized. NCBI's taxonomy places the organism in Eukaryota, Metazoa, Chordata, Mammalia, Carnivora, Felidae. The transcript has 3 exons. The record is from RefSeq and is a predicted model, not a curated record.
UGUCGCCUGGCCCCACCCCAGCAGGGCCCCGAGGGCGAGGACGGCUGGAACCAGAGGACCCUGAUGUGACUGGAUCUCGAAGCUGGUGGGAGGCUUCGGUUCUCCCUGAAGGUCUGACGCUGCCCUCCCCACCCCUUUCCUUGAGGCAUUUUUUUCCGUUUGCAAAACGAACCAAACCAAGUCUCGGUGCUAACCGAAGCUGGAACAUUUGAAUUAUUAGGAAUCUGUUACAGGACUCUGCAUUGGGAAUUGUUUUUAUUUCGUUUAGGGUUUCGUUGUGUUUUUAGUUGGAAGCGCGUAGUGUCAGGUCUAGCUUGCGGAGUGAAAACACGGAGAGGAGGGGAGAAAUGUUCAAAGCAGCUCUGUGUCCUCAGUGUCCUCAGGCCGUUCUCCUCCGCAGGCUUUCCGGGGUCUGAACUGCAAACAUAAAGAACUAAUUUGCUCCAGGUCUCGGUGUUGUUACUGUUCCUGCCCUGUUUACAUCACAUCGGGUCUUUAUCUAGGGCACCUCUUCCUGCACUUGUGGUAUUUGUUGGUGCGCUAGGUUACGGUGUCCCUCACAUGUUGUCAUCAGAAACUGAACACUUCCUCUCAGCAUCCUCACAAGGUCCGCCUUCCCCCCCCCCCCCCACAACUGGUUUCCUUGAUGCACGCGUAGUUUAGGAUUCUUUUUAUCACAUCAGCACUGGCGAGGCUCCGAGUUUUGUAACAUGGCUUUAACCGGCAUUUAUUUUACUAGCCUGGAAAGCCUGUGGUGUGGUCGGGGUUUGACCUGCCUACAGCAGAUAUUUAUUGAGCCCACUCGAUGUGUCUGACGCUGUGCCCUGAAUACAAAAAUGUCUGGGUAGUCCCCGCCCUUCUUUUCUGAAGACACAAAACUUAGAACGCUACUGAAUUUCUAUGGGAGUUUGGGAACUGAACUUGAGUAACCACACAAGUUCUUAGAGCACGUCAUAAAUGUCCCCAUGGAAGAAAAGACUGAAGACACAAAGAAAUGGAAUGUAGGAACAGAGCGAGGCGGGCAAGUGAGACCAAGCGCUGGGGGACACGGGGACGCCUCUGGGGCCAGCCUGUCAUGCACCUGUGCUCCCUUUAUUCCUUCAACCUUUACAAGGCGUUUCUUAGACGUCAACAACAGCCUUUGGUAUAUUUAUAAGAUUAAAACGGGUCCCACUUAAUUUAGCGUAUCUUGGGUAAACUUGAUCUGACUCUAAUCUCGGAUUUUAAUCAGAUACUAUUUUGUAAGGUUCUUAGAACCCAGAAUAAAAUGUGGGACAUAAAACAACUGGAUGACAGAAGAUACAUGAGCAAACUAAGCUAAGUAAAAAAAUUUUUUUUAAUUCAGACACAGGAAAAAAAUCAACUGCUUCUAGGAUUUUUAAGAAACAUCCCCAAAAUAUCAAGAUUGUUCAUUCCUCUGAGCUGGAAAGACAAGAUGGGCCAAGGACAGAGGUCAAGGUGCAUCCAGCUUUUCCAGAGGGCAACCUUCAGAUCGCAUUUCCGCCUCCAUGGGACCCGAUGCCCUUCCUUCCCCAGAAGGAAGAUGGGGUAGAGAUGUCCCGCCUGAGGCGAUGAAGGGGUCGGAGGGAGUCGUGGGGGACUUGGAAGCCAUGUGGUGGGGAGUGAGGACUUUGUUGGGCCGCACUGGUGGAAGAAGUUUGUGUUUCUAAUGCCUUUUGAUGGUCAGGUUUACUGGGUCUUAAACCAUUUCUAGAACAAUUUAUUAGAGGGUACAAAUCAAGAAAGACAUUCUGUUUCUUAGAAACCUAUUAAUAGCUAAGGUUAACGGGAGGGCAACAUUUAAUGAAUAAUGUGUCUUCCCUCUGAUGGGCAAAUACACAUGCACAUGUGUAUCAUGUAGUGAUUUCUAUCAUGUAGUGAAUUUCCAUAUAAUUGAGGAUCUCGUUCUGAACUACAUUCUAAUCCAUUGAUCUUCCAAUAGCAUUUCGUGCUGUUUUUCAUUUUUUCAUACUGUGUUAAUAUAAUUUCACAAUACAUUUUAAUACCUGUUAUAGCUACUAGACUCGGUGCCCCCUGCGCUCAUUACGGUCUUCGAACUAUUUGUUAGUUUCAAAUUGGCAGAAAUUGGUUUUUGCAAAAAAAAGGAGUGCAAGGAAUACUUCUGUUCCCUUUGCCGAGACCUACAGGAAGUGGUGUUUGUAAGCCACGCGCAUCAUGGUCUUUUUCUGAGUUCCUGGCGUGUGCAGAACCCAGCUCUGAACGCAGGGCCGUGCCUGCAGCUUUCAGAGAACGAAGAGCUCUGAAAACAGCUCAGGGGUCAGGUGCUCUUACCAUCACCGCACUUAGUACAAUUUACAAAUACAAGGGCAGAACAAAUAAAAGGAGACACAGACUAAGCCUCCUGAGGAUGGAGCUUUCUCACUGCGUUUCAAUAGUUCAAGGCAUGAACAUGGCAGAAAGGCAGACCUAACACGGCAGGAGAAAAUUCUCAGCCAGCCAGCUCUCCAUCCAACUCGUUUUCUUAUGAAGAAGUUAGACAAGAGCACCUGGCUGGCCCAGUCGGUGCAGCAUGUGACUCUUGAUCCCGGGGUCGUGAGCUCAAGCCCCACGUUGGGUGUAGAGUUUACUGGGGAAAAAAAAAAAAUGCAUAAAAAGACAAAACGAUUUGGGUCCUGAGUACAUAGGGGCUUAUGUACCACAGGCAAAUUCGGUAUUUUCUUUUUUAAGAGAAUUCCAGUUGAUCUUUGUGGUGUGGGGUGUUUUGGCAGCGUUGUCAACUUGGCGAAGCUGAACUGUUUUCCAGAAUUCCCUUCCCUAUUCAUUUCUGGUUAGGUAGGGGGUGGCCACAAGAGAAAUUUGCACGAAUUUGGAAGCGGACGGAAAGCCGUAGCCGUGCUUACUUGCUGAAGGUCGCUGGACGCCGUGCCCUGUUGCACCUCGUGCACGUUUUCGCAGACCCCGCUGCACCUUCGGUGGGCGCAGCGGCCGGGCUCUCGGCUCCUCCGGCCCCCACAGAACUCUGCCUCCGGUUCUUCCAGAUCAGGGGUCAGGUAUGAAUCUAGCUUCUCCUUCAGGUCACCUGCAGCAGGAGGACAAAGGCUUAGAGGAGAGGCCAGCGCGGGUCCGGCCAGCAAGAGGCAGAUGCGGGUUCCCGCUAGUGGCUUGCAGGCUCCAGCUGUCCCAGCGCUCCCAGACCGCACUGCCGCCUUCUUUCCGGACCACCCGCCCAGGGACUUCAGGUGAACAAGCAGCAGCUGAACUGGGGCUCUCUUACCAGCAUCUGUAAUUCAGUGCUGCAGAUGCGGAAGAGUAAUAUUCAGAGAAAAGCACCUCGACAAAUUUUACUAGACCUAAAACAUUUCUGCCUUGCGUCCGAGGACAAAACCAGACGGGAUUUAAAAGAAAACGGCAGUGAAGGCUUUGAGGGUAAAGAGUUGCUGUCGUCUGGCCCCAUAAGGUCCAGUGAAAACCCAAUCCACAAGGCAUAUCCCUGUCCUCACCUGUAAGCUUCGUCUAAGGACAUGUUCAUCCUCUUCAUGAUGUAGGCGAUGGCGAUGGUGGCUGAGCGAGAGACGCCAGCUAAGCAGUGUACCAGGACACAUCCGUUGCAGGCUUUUGCUUUCUCUGCAGGAGUCAAAUUCGAGAAGGGUCACCGUGAACAACUUUGUUCAACAGUGAGAUCUUGUUGCCAUUUGCUUACUUGCAUCUGAUAACUCAAAGUAAAUCUCCUGUAUUCAUAAUA